This 199-nucleotide long non-coding RNA is filed under the name Trifolium pratense (red clover). RNAcentral's name for it is "long non-coding RNA (TPRA_LNC002795)". Lineage: Eukaryota; Viridiplantae; Streptophyta; Magnoliopsida; Fabales; Fabaceae. The record is from RNAcentral.
GGGGGAGAGAGCAGCCCCUCCGUUCCACUAUAUCAAACGAGUAACUUUACAAAGAGUUCCAAUUGAGUUACAAGAAUUAAUCCUAAUUCUACCCAAAUCCCGAAUCUCUUCCCGUGGCCAAGAGACUCAAUUUGAUAAGUGUUUCCCAAGGUGUACCACAAAGAUAGUUUGCCCACCCUAGAGUUAUACCAAGAGAAAA